RNAcentral lists this ribosomal RNA (441 nucleotides) under uncultured bacterium. RNAcentral describes it as "partial 16S ribosomal RNA". It matches the Rfam family "Bacterial small subunit ribosomal RNA", at positions 338 to 795 of the family's 1533-position model. The record is from RNAcentral.
CCUACGGGAGGCAGCAGUGGGGGAUAUUGCACAAUGGGGGGAACCCUGAUGCAGCGACGCCGCGUGGGUGAAGGAGCGUUUCGGCGCGUAAAGCCCUAUCGGCAGGGAAGAAGGAGGACGGUACCUGACUAUAAAGCCCCGGCUAAAUACGUGCCAGCAGCCGCGGUAAUACGAAGGGGGCAACCGUUAUCCGGAUUGAAUGGGGGUAAAGGGGGGUCAGACGGCAGCGCAAGCGAGGAGUGAAAGCCCGGGGGUCAACCCCGGGACUGCCCUUGAAACUUCGCGGUUGGAGUGCAGGAGGGGCAGGCGGAAUUCCUGGUGUAGCGGUGAAAUGCGUAGAUAUCAGGAGGAACACCGGUGGCGAAGGCGGCCUGCUGGACUGCAACUGACGUUGAGGCCCGAAAGUGUGGGGAGCAAACAGGAUUAGAUACCCUUGUAGUC